ACGAAAAAUGAAUACCAAGUCUCAAGAGUGAACACGUAAUUCAUUACGAAGUUUAAUUCAUUGAGCAUCAAACUUUUAAAUUGAAGAGUUUGAUCAUGGCUCAGAUUGAACGCUGGCGGCAGGCCUAACACAUGCAAGUCGAACGGUAACAGGAAGCAGCUUGCUGCUUUGCUGACGAGUGGCGGACGGGUGAGUAAUGUCUGGGAAACUGCCUGAUGGAGGGGGAUAACUACUGGAAACGGUGGCUAAUACCGCAUAACGUCGCAAGACCAAAGAGGGGGACCUUCGGGCCUCUUGCCAUCAGAUGUGCCCAGAUGGGAUUAGCUUGUUGGUGAGGUAACGGCUCACCAAGGCGACGAUCCCUAGCUGGUCUGAGAGGAUGACCAGCCACACUGGAACUGAGACACGGUCCAGACUCCUACGGGAGGCAGCAGUGGGGAAUAUUGCACAAUGGGCGCAAGCCUGAUGCAGCCAUGCCGCGUGUAUGAAGAAGGCCUUCGGGUUGUAAAGUACUUUCAGCGGGGAGGAAGGUGUUGUGGUUAAUAACCGCAGCAAUUGACGUUACCCGCAGAAGAAGCACCGGCUAACUCCGUGCCAGCAGCCGCGGUAAUACGGAGGGUGCAAGCGUUAAUCGGAAUUACUGGGCGUAAAGCGCACGCAGGCGGUCUGUCAAGUCGGAUGUGAAAUCCCCGGGCUCAACCUGGGAACUGCAUUCGAAACUGGCAGGCUUGAGUCUUGUAGAGGGGGGNNNNNNNNNNNNNNNNNNNNGAAUUCCAGGUGUAGCGGUGAAAUGCGUAGAGAUCUGGAGGAAUACCGGUGGCGAAGGCGGCCCCCUGGACAAAGACUGACGCUCAGGUGCGAAAGCGUGGGGAGCAAACAGGAUUAGAUACCCUGGUAGUCCACGCCGUAAACGAUGUCUACUUGGAGGUUGUGCCCUUGAGGCGUGGCUUCCGGAGCUAACGCGUUAAGUAGACCGCCUGGGGAGUACGGCCGCAAGGUUAAAACUCAAAUGAAUUGACGGGGGCCCGCACAAGCGGUGGAGCAUGUGGUUUAAUUCGAUGCAACGCGAAGAACCUUACCUGGUCUUGACAUCCACGGAAGUUUUCAGAGAUGAGAAUGUGCCUUCGGGAACCGUGAGACAGGUGCUGCAUGGCUGUCGUCAGCUCGUGUUGUGAAAUGUUGGGUUAAGUCCCGCAACGAGCGCAACCCUUAUCCUUUGUUGCCAGCGGUCCGGCCGGGAACUCAAAGGAGACUGCCAGUGAUAAACUGGAGGAAGGUGGGGAUGACGUCAAGUCAUCAUGGCCCUUACGACCAGGGCUACACACGUGCUACAAUGGCGCAUACAAAGAGAAGCGACCUCGCGAGAGCAAGCGGACCUCAUAAAGUGCGUCGUAGUCCGGAUUGGAGUCUGCAACUCGACUCCAUGAAGUCGGAAUCGCUAGUAAUCGUGGAUCAGAAUGCCACGGUGAAUACGUUCCCGGGCCUUGUACACACCGCCCGUCACACCAUGGGAGUGGGUUGCAAAAGAAGUAGGUAGCUUAACCUUCGGGAGGGCGCUUACCACUUUGUGAUUCAUGACUGGGGUGAAGUCGUAACAAGGUAACCGUAGGGGAACCUGCGGUUGGAUCACCUCCUUACCUUAAAGAAGCGUACUUUGCAGUGCUCACACAGAUUGUCUGAUGAAAA
RNAcentral lists this ribosomal RNA (1686 nucleotides) under Salmonella enterica subsp. enterica serovar Paratyphi A. RNAcentral's name for it is "bacterial SSU rRNA". It matches the Rfam family "Bacterial small subunit ribosomal RNA". Lineage: Bacteria; Pseudomonadati; Pseudomonadota; Gammaproteobacteria; Enterobacterales; Enterobacteriaceae. The record is from RNAcentral.